This 193-nucleotide small RNA is filed under the name Fonsecaea multimorphosa CBS 102226. RNAcentral's name for it is "A. fumigatus sRNA Afu_182". It matches the Rfam family "A. fumigatus sRNA Afu_182". Lineage: Eukaryota; Fungi; Ascomycota; Eurotiomycetes; Chaetothyriales; Herpotrichiellaceae. The record is from Rfam by way of RNAcentral.
AUAUGAACAACGCAAAAUACCAACGUUCCUUCAAAAAGCACUUCCUACGAGGUUACUACUUCCAAGCGGUGAUCCAUGAUGUACGGAAAUCGUCUAUUGGAAUGGAGAUCAAUUCACCUGUAGUCGAUCUUGGGUGCAGUGUCAGUCUUCCCCUUUGAGGUUGUGACUGGGAUUGCAAUGAUUGACCACACAU